Molecule: transfer RNA, 362 nt
Filed under: uncultured Microcystis sp.
Lineage: Bacteria; Bacillati; Cyanobacteriota; Cyanophyceae; Chroococcales; Microcystaceae
Description: partial 16S-23S ribosomal RNA intergenic spacer
Rfam family: tRNA (bases 135-208)
Source: RNAcentral
AAGGGAGACCUAAUUCAGGUAUGGGACGAAAAAAAAGUAGUCCCAACCAAGAAUCAAUCCCAAAAGGUCGGAGCGAGGCGAAAUUGGCUUUCAAACUAGGUUCUGGGUUCACACAAGACCUGAAUCAGGAACAAGGGCUAUUAGCUCAGGUGGUUAGAGCGCACCCCUGAUAAGGGUGAGGUCCCUGGUUCGAGUCCAGGAUGGCCCACCUGCACAGGUGGCAAAAACAAGAGAAGCGAGGAAUCAGCACCUUAUCUUAUCUAUAUAUAUAUAGGAGAGAAUGCUGGCUCUGAGUAAAGAGUCCAGAGGAACCUUGAAAACUGCAUAGAGCUAGGUGAAAAAGCCAAAAAAGAAGACCGCAA